CGCCAAAUUUGGAUGAUCUAAGCCAUGCGAGUCAUUGUAGUAAUACAAGGCAGACGGCUCAGUAACGCGUCCUUUAAAAACCUAUGGACGGGAAUAACCUCGGGAAACUGACUUAAUGAAGGAUAGAAUAUUAUGGGUGGAAUGGUUUGUGUUCAAAAUGAUUUAGUUGGGUAGGAUGGGAGUGCUCCCUAUCAGUUUGUUGGUGAGGUAAUGGCCCACCAAGACUAUUACAGGUACGGGCUCUGAGAGGAGUGGCCCGGAGAUGGGUACUGAGACACGGACCCAGGCCCUAUGGGGCGCAGCAGGCGAGAAAACUUUGCAAUGUGCGAAAGCACGACAAGGUUAAUCCGAGUGGUUUCUGCUAAAGGAACCUUUUGUCGGUCCUAGAAACACCGAUGAAUAAGGGUUGUUUAAUUCUUGUGGCAGCCCCCCCGGAAAAACCGGCCCCCCAAGGGGUCAGAAUGAUUUUUGGGCCUAAAGCAUCCGUAAGCCGGAUUUGUUUAGUUUUGGGUUAAAUCUGGCCCCUCAACGUACAGGGUGGCCGGAAUACUGGCAAACUAGGGGGGGGGGAAAAAGAGACCGUACUCCGGAGGAAAGGGAAAAAUUUUUUGAUUUAUUUGUGACCCCCUGGGGGGGAAAGGGGGUCUUACCAAAAAACUUUCCAAAGUGGGGGAAUGGAAGGUGGGGGAAACCAAACCGGAUUAAAAUCCCGGGUAGUCCCCAGCUGUAAACUAAGCCAACUCCAUGAAUGAUUUGGGUUGGGGGCCAUGGAAUGGUUGAGGGAAACCCUUAAAUUUGCCCGCUGGGGAAUUACCUUCGCCAGUAUUAAACUCAAAUGAAUUGACGGA
This 848-nucleotide ribosomal RNA is filed under the name uncultured archaeon. RNAcentral describes it as "partial 16S ribosomal RNA". It matches the Rfam family "Archaeal small subunit ribosomal RNA", at positions 27 to 872 of the family's 1478-position model. The record is from RNAcentral.